This 269-nucleotide ribosomal RNA is filed under the name uncultured archaeon. RNAcentral describes it as "partial 16S ribosomal RNA". It matches the Rfam family "Archaeal small subunit ribosomal RNA", at positions 717 to 982 of the family's 1478-position model. The record is from RNAcentral.
ACACGACUACAUUAGAUACCCCUGUAGUCCUAGGCGUAAAUGAUGCGAGUUAAGUGGUGGGGGCAUCUACGAGAUGGCCCUGUGCUGUAGGGUAGACCGUUAAACUCGCUGCCGUGGGGAGUACGGUCGCAAGGCUGAAAACUUAAAGGAAUUGGCGGGGGAGCACCACAACGGGUGGAGCCUGCGGUUUAAUUGGACUCAACGCCGGGAAGCUCACCGGAUAAGACAGCGGAAUGAUUGCCGGGCUGAAGACCCUGCAUGACCAGCUG